This 290-nucleotide ribosomal RNA is filed under the name Escherichia coli. RNAcentral's name for it is "partial 16S ribosomal RNA". It matches the Rfam family "Bacterial small subunit ribosomal RNA", at positions 95 to 388 of the family's 1533-position model. The record is from RNAcentral. Lineage: Bacteria; Pseudomonadati; Pseudomonadota; Gammaproteobacteria; Enterobacterales; Enterobacteriaceae.
GUGGCGGACGGGUGAGUAAUGUCUGGGAAACUGCCUGAUGGAGGGGGAUAACUACUGGAAACGGUAGCUAAUACCGCAUAACGUCGCAAGACCAAAGAGGGGGACCUUCGGGCCUCUUGCCAUCGGAUGUGCCCAGAUGGGAUUAGCUUGUUGGUGGGGUAACGGCUCACCAAGGCGACGAUCCCUAGCUGGUCUGAGAGGAUGACCAGCCACACUGGAACUGAGACACGGUCCAGACUCCUACGGGAGGCAGCAGUGGGGAAUAUUGCACAAUGGGCGCAAGCCUGAUG